GAUGAACGCUAGCGGCAGGCUUAAUACAUGCAAGUUGAGGGGCAGCAUGAUAUACGCGAGUAUAUUGAUGGCGACCGGCGGACGGGUGAGUAAUAGGUAGGAGACCUACCCCAUACAGGGGGAUAGCAUAGAGAAAUCUGUGGUAAUACCCCAUGAGGUUAUAUGAAUAGAGGCAUAUAAUCAAAGCAUAAGUGAUUAUGCGGUAUGAGAGGGGCCUACUGACCAUUAGCUAGUUGGUGAGGUAAGGGCUCACCAAGGCGAAGAUGGUUAGGGGUUUUGAGAGAGAGACCCCCCACAUUGGAACUGAGAGACGGUCCAGACUCCUACGGGAGGCAGCAGUAGGGAAUAUUGGGCAAUGGGCGAAAGCCUGACCCAGCCAUGCCGCGUGAAGGAAGACGGCCUUAUGGGUUGUAAACUUCUUUACUACGCGAAUAGAGGUUAGUACGAGAUACUAAUAGGAAGGUAGUGUAGUAAAAGCACCGGCUAACUCCGUGCC
Molecule: ribosomal RNA, 496 nt
Filed under: uncultured bacterium
Lineage: Bacteria
Description: bacterial SSU rRNA
Rfam family: Bacterial small subunit ribosomal RNA
Source: RNAcentral